CCUACGGGAGGCAGCAGUAGGGAAUCUUCCGCAAUGGACGAAAGUCUGACGGAGCAACGCCGCGUGAGCGAUGAAGGCCUUCGGGUCGUAAAGCUCUGUUGUCAGGGAAGAACAAGUAUCGGAGUAACUGCCGGUACCUUGACGGUACCUGACCAGAAAGCCACGGCUAACUACGUGCCAGCAGCCGCGGUAAUACGUAGGUGGCAAGCGUUGUCCGGAUUUAUUGGGCGUAAAGCGCGCGCAGGCGGUUUCUUAAGUCUGAUGUGAAAGCCCACGGCUUAACCGUGGAGGGUCAUUGGAAACUGGGAGACUUGAGUGCAGAAGAGGAAAGUGGAAUUCCAAGUGUAGCGGUGAAAUGCGUAGAGAUUUGGAGGAACACCAGUGGCGAAGGCGACUUUCUGGUCUGCAACUGACGCUGAGGCGCGAAAGCAUGGGGAGCAAACAGGAUUAGAUACCCUGGUAGUCCAUGCCGUAAACGAUGAGUGCUAAGUGUUAGGGGGUUUCCGCCCCUUAGUGCUGCAGCUAACGCAUUAAGCACUCCGCCUGGGGAGUACGACCGCAAGGUUGAAACUCAAAGGAAUUGACGG
RNAcentral lists this ribosomal RNA (587 nucleotides) under uncultured bacterium. Its description in RNAcentral is "bacterial SSU rRNA". It matches the Rfam family "Bacterial small subunit ribosomal RNA", at positions 338 to 916 of the family's 1533-position model. The record is from RNAcentral.